Molecule: ribosomal RNA, 255 nt
Filed under: uncultured bacterium
Lineage: Bacteria
Description: partial 16S ribosomal RNA
Rfam family: Bacterial small subunit ribosomal RNA
Source: RNAcentral
UACGUAGGGUGCAAGCGUUAAUCGGAAUUACUGGGCGUAAAGGGCGCGUAGGCGGCUUUGCAAGUGGCGGGUGAAAUCCCUCGGCUUAACCGAGGAACUGCCUGCCAGACUGUGAGGCUUGAGACCGGGAGAGGUGAGUGGAAUUCCCAGUGUAGCGGUGAAAAUGCGUAGAUAUUGGGAGGAACACCAGUGGCGAAGGCGGCUCACUGGACCGGAACUGACGCUGAGGCGCGAAAGCGUGGGGAGCAAACAGGG